GAAAGAUUCAUCGGAAGAGGAUGGGCAUGCGGCGCAUUAGCUAGACGGCGGGGUAACGGCCCACCGUGGCGACGAUGCGUAGGGGUUCUGAGAGGAAGGUCCCCCACACUGGUACUGAGACACGGACCAGACUCCUACGGGAGGCAGCAGUGAGGAAUAUUGGUCAAUGGGAGAGAUCUUGAACCAGCCAAGCCGCGUGAGGGAAGACGGCCCUAUGGGUUGUAAACCUCUUUUGUCGGAGAACAAAACCCGGGACGUGUCCCGGACUGCGUGUAUCCGAAGAAAAAGCAUCGGCUAACUCCGUGCCAGCAGCCGCGGUAAUACGGAGGAUGCGAGCGUUAUCCGGAUUUAUUGGGUUUAAAGGGUGCGUAGGCGGUCUGUUAAGUCAGCGGUAAAAUUGCGGGGCUCAACCCCGUCGAGCCGUUGAAACUGGCAGACUUGAGUUGGCGAGAAGUACGCGGAAUGCGCGGUGUAGCGGUGAAAUGCAUAGAUAUCGCGCAGAACUCCGAUUGCGAAGGCAGCGUACCGGCGCCAGACUGACGCUGAGGCACGAAAGCGUGGGGAUCGAACAGGAUUAGAUACCCUGGUAGUCCACGCAGUAAACGAUGAAUGCUGGUUGUCCGGGUCGAAUGAGACCUGG
This 640-nucleotide ribosomal RNA is filed under the name uncultured bacterium. RNAcentral's name for it is "bacterial SSU rRNA". It matches the Rfam family "Bacterial small subunit ribosomal RNA", at positions 202 to 842 of the family's 1533-position model. The record is from RNAcentral.